Molecule: ribosomal RNA, 253 nt
Filed under: uncultured bacterium
Lineage: Bacteria
Description: partial 16S ribosomal RNA
Rfam family: Bacterial small subunit ribosomal RNA
Source: RNAcentral
UACGUAGGGUGCAAGCGUUAAUCGGAAUUACUGGGCGUAAAGCGUGCGAAGGCGGUCUUGUAAGAAAGAGGUGAAAUCCCCGGGCUGAACCUGGGAACUGCCUUUGUGACUGCAAGGCUUGAGUACGGCAGAGGGGGAUGGAAUUCCGCGUGUAGCAGUGAAAUGCGUAGAUAUGCGGAGGAACACCGAUGGCGAAGGCAGUCCCCUGGGCCUGUACUGACGCUCAUGCACGAAAGCGUGGGGAGCAAACAGG